This 78-nucleotide transfer RNA is filed under the name Meiothermus sp. QL-1. RNAcentral's name for it is "tRNA-Arg". It matches the Rfam family "tRNA". From Rfam's summary of the family: Transfer RNA (tRNA) molecules are approximately 80 nucleotides in length. Their secondary structure includes four short double-helical elements and three loops (D, anti-codon, and T loops). The record is from RNAcentral. Lineage: Bacteria; Thermotogati; Deinococcota; Deinococci; Thermales; Thermaceae.
GCGCUCGUAGCUCAGCAUGGAUAGAGCGAAGGUUUCCUAAACCUUAGGUCGCAGGUUCGAGUCCUGCCGGGCGCACCA